CCUACGGGAGGCAGCAGUGGGGGAUAUUGCACAAUGGACGAGAGUCUGAACCAGCCAAGUAGCGUGAAGGAUGACUGCCCUAUGGGUUGUAAACUUCUUUUAUAUGGGAAUAAAACGUUCCACGUGUGGGAUUUUGUAUGUACCAUAUGAAUAAGGAUCGGCUAACUCCGUGCCAGCAGCCGCGGUAAUACGGAGGAUCCGAGCGUUAUCCGGAUUUAUUGGGUUUAAAGGGAGCGUAGGUGGAUUGUUAAGUCAGUUGUGAAAGUUUGCGGCUCAACCGUAAAAUUGCAGUUGAAACUGGCAGUCUUGAGUACAGUAGAGGUGGGCGGAAUUCGUGGUGUAGCGGUGAAAUGCUUAGAUAUCACGAAGAACUCCGAUUGCGAAGGCAGUUCACUGGACUGCAACUGACACUGAGGCUCGAAAGUGUGGGUAUCAAACAGGAUUAGAUACCCCUGUAGUC
Molecule: ribosomal RNA, 460 nt
Filed under: uncultured bacterium
Lineage: Bacteria
Description: partial 16S ribosomal RNA
Rfam family: Bacterial small subunit ribosomal RNA
Source: RNAcentral